RNAcentral lists this ribosomal RNA (484 nucleotides) under uncultured bacterium. RNAcentral describes it as "partial 16S ribosomal RNA". It matches the Rfam family "Bacterial small subunit ribosomal RNA", at positions 30 to 507 of the family's 1533-position model. The record is from RNAcentral.
AUUGAACGCUGGCGGCAGGCCUAACACAUGCAAGUCGAGCGGAUGAAGGGAGCUUGCUCCUGGAUUCAGCGGCGGACGGGUGAGUAAUGCCUAGGAAUCUGCCCGGUAGUGGGGGAUAACGUCCGGAAACGGGCGCUAAUACCGCAUACGUCCUGAGGGAGAAAGUGGGGGAUCUUCGGACCUCACGCUAUCAGAUGAGCCUAGGUCGGAUUAGCUAGUUGGUGGGGUAAAGGCCUACCAAGGCGACGAUCCGUAACUGGUCUGAGAGGAUGAUCAGUCACACUGGAACUGAGACACGGUCCAGACUCCUACGGGAGGCAGCAGUGGGGAAUAUUGGACAAAGGGCGAAAGCCUGAUCCAGCCAUGCGGCGUGUGUGAAGAAGGUCUUCGGAUUGUAAAGCACUUUAAGUUGGGAGGAAGGGCAGUAAGUUAAUACCUUGCUGUUUUGACGUUACCAACAGAAUAAGCACCGGCUAACUUCGUG